CCUACGGGUGGCAGCAGUGAGGAAUAUUGGUCAAUGGCCGCAAGGCUGAACCAGCCAAGUCGCGUGAAGGAUGACGGCCCUAUGGUUUGUAAACUUCUUUUAUAGGGGAAUAAAGUUAUCCACGUGUGGCUAUUUGCAUGUACCCUAUGAAUAAGCAUCGGCUAACUCCGUGCCAGCAGCCGCGGUAAUACGGAGGAUGCGAGCGUUAUCCGGAUUUAUUGGGUUUAAAGGGUGCGUAGGUUGUUUUUUAAGUCAGUUGUGAAAGUUUGUGGCUCAACCAUAAAAUUGCCGUUGAAACUGGAAGACUUGAGUGUGUUUGAGGUAGGCGGAAUGCGUGGUGUAGCGGUGAAAUGCAUAGAUAUCACGAAGAACUCCGAUUGCGAAGGCAGCCUACUAAACCAUAACUGACACUGAGGCACGAAAGUGUGGGGAUCAAACAGGAUUAGAUACCCGAGUAGUC
RNAcentral lists this ribosomal RNA (460 nucleotides) under uncultured bacterium. RNAcentral's name for it is "partial 16S ribosomal RNA". It matches the Rfam family "Bacterial small subunit ribosomal RNA", at positions 338 to 795 of the family's 1533-position model. The record is from RNAcentral.